UUUUACGAAGGAACAAAAAUCCAACUCAGAUGCUCCUAAAAAUUGAUACAACAUCCAUAUCCAAGUUAAUUCUUUACAUCAUGAGCGUAUUCUACGGAUACAGCUUGAAUACCGACAAGCAUAAUCAGGUAUGUGAAAAAAGAAUACAUGAAAAGCAAUCUAACAAUAAUAGUCAAUAUUUUACAUCUCAAAAGUAUUUUGCCGCAUUCAAUCUAAUUCAAAAUAGUAACCGAAUAAUUGUUGGACGCAAAAAUUUCAUACGGAUUCAUAGAGCACUUCCAAUCUAAUCUGAGAAGAAAUGCAGGGUGGAACUUCGAGAAAAAGAAUUUGACCUAAAUCCCUACCACAGUUUUGCUAUGGUAGUACAAUCAUCAAGGUUGUCUCUUGGAACGAGCCGGGAGAGCCAGAAGAAUCUUUUUUCUUGGUCCCAUAGGUAUUCCCAGCUCUUUGAGGUCAUUUUCCCUCAUCUGCUUCAAUGCAGUCAUAUCCACUUCCUCAGCCUUAAAAAUAAUGGCAUAUUUUCCCAAUCCCAGUGAAUGUAACAAGCCUUCAACAGUCUGCUGUUCUUCACCCACAUAUGAGCUCUUCUGUAGGAUCCCACUUGCAGUUGGUGGAGGAAGUUGGCCCAGAAGAGGUGCUGCAGGCUUUGUAGAUACUGCAGGCAACACAGAUUUAGUCAUGAAAGGUGUGGAACUACUCACAGGCCUUGAAGCAUCAAGAACAUCCUUGUUCAUGUAUGAAACUGUUCUUCCAUCAUCAAAUGUCCUGCUUAAUGGUCUUCUUUGUAAUUCUUCCACAUUUCUGGGUGGGGAUAAACCCCUAGAACUACCUAUAAUUCUAUCUGGAGAUCUCCUUCUUAUAUGAUCCAAGGUCCAAGGAGAACAAGAAUUCCUUGAUGAAUCAAUCUGUGGCAAAUUAUCUGCACUUCUUGCAGGAGGAAUUCGACCUAAGAUACUAGUGUUCUUUGGAUCAGGCAUGCGCUGCAUUGCAUCAACAGUAUUAAGGGGGGGACCUGAAGGCUGCACUGUCCUAGACAGCUUUUCACGGAGGUCCAUGGUUUUUCCGUAAUAAUCACUCUGGGGUCUUCUAGAGACAUUUUUUUGCAUGAGUUUGAAUCGAAGGUCAUCCUUACCAAUGCGAACAUCUUAGAUUAUUCAGAAACACAGGUCAGUUCUCCAAAAAUGGGUUGAAAAUCUGAGAAAAUAAUUAACAUUUCAAUGCAGGACAGCAAGUGUAUUUACCUUCCACACCAUUAGCACUCAAACUUGUCAAAUAACUGUCUACUCUUUGCCUGCAAGAAGAUGAAGUAUAACAAUAACAUUAUCCAUAGCUAAUGUCAUUACAAAAGCAUGCUCCUGAAAAACAUACACUAAUGACACAAAAUCAUGCCAGGAAACAUAUCACAGAGUACAGCAGUUACAUUUUACACCCACGCACAAAUUGGCUAAUAUGACUUAAACACUCUAAUUCUCCAAAAAUUACUGCAAUCAACAAAAAAUUAGAAAAUGUAACGAAGUAAAAUGUCAUUUCAAAGUCAGCAAACCACCAAAGAUUGUGUAAUAUUUUAACAAUUUCUUUGAACCACCAAGAAAAUAAAAAAAAAAGGGCAAUAUUCAACUCAUAUCAAAUUCAAAGUUACGAAAUUGAAACAAAAAGAUGAAAGUAAAACGCACUUUUUGUUGUUAGCUAGGCUUACAUGCGACGAGAAACUAUCCAAACUACUUCCUAAUCUAUCUCUUACAGACCGCUUAUUGCCAGCACUUGGCAGAUGAUCAGCAUAGUCAACCUCUGAUACAGCUGCAGCUCUCUUUACCACCUGAGAAUGUCAGUCCAUCUGAUGGGGAGAUCCUCUAGGAAGCAUCAUCCAAGACAGCUAUCAUUAUAUCCUAUAAUAUCUUCAAUAACCUAUUCAAGCACUCCUCUAGAAGGUUGUGUUGGAUUUUCUGUUAUGUCAGUGUUCCUUAUUUGUUGUUACAGCUCCAUCAUAUUGAAAUCUUUGUGAAAACAUCUGCUUCUGGAUCAACUAUCUGCUAUAUACUUCUCUUUCUAAAUUAUACACAAUAUGAUAAAUAAGCUUGAAAAUAGCAACCUUGAAUGUGCAGAAGCUGCACUACUAAAAUCUGGCAAAAAUAGUAUCAGGAAUCAUCUGUUUGAUUUCAAGUCCAUGAGAGACAGGUGCAGAGAGAAUAAUAAAGGAUCAAAACAUCAACCUCCUACCAGUAGUCUCCACAGGAACAUUUUCCUUCUCUGAAAUGAUGGAAACAAUUUGAAUCCCUCAAAAUAAUAUGGCGAAGAUAUACCUUAGAUAUAUAUUUCAUAGCAGUAUGGCAAUCCCCACAAACCCGGAGAUUCUUGAAAAUACGUACUGGCGCUCUCUGUGGCAAAGUGAGAAGCCCAAAAGCAAUAGCCAACUUCUCACUGUGAUAAGCUAGACCAAUCUCCUUACCUUCUUUAUCCAUGUCCUGAAGUGCAAAAUUCAUGUCUGGCACAUAACCAGCUUCCUUGAUCAAUAUAAUUAUCUCAUCGAUCUUUGAAUAAAUUUCAUUCAUCAUUGGAUGGCUUCUGUCUUCGGACAUAAAUGUGUGCACUUUGCUGUUAGACUCGAUCCAACUGCAUCCUGGUUCCUUAUUAACCCCCCUGGAUUUCAUUAAUCUUCUGAUUCUUGCAGCAUCUUCCCAUCUGCCAGCAAGUGAAUACAUAUUAGAUAACAGUACAUAAGGCACAGAAUUCAUGGGUUCCAAUUUAAAGAGGUUCUUUGCUGCUGUCUCUCCCAAUUCCAGCUCCCCAUGUACUCUGCAAGCAGCAAGCAGUGCCUUCCAUACAGUUGCAUCUGGUUCUACAACCAUUUGAUUAAGUAAUUCCUUGGCCUCAGCAAGUUUUCCUGAGCGUCCCAAAAGAUCAAUCAUGCAAGCAUAGUGUUCAGGACCUGGCUUGAUCCCAUAUACAUUGUCCAUUGAUCCAAAGUACUGGCGACCUUCUUCCACAAGACCAGUAUGGCUACAGGCAAAUAGUAAACCAAUAAAUGUAAUGAAGUCCGGUUUUGUGCCAGUAGCAGUCAUUUGAUCAUAAAAUUGUAGAGAAUCUUUUCCUCUACCAUUCUUUGCAUAUCCAACUAUUAGAGCUGUCCAACUAAUGACAUUCCGAGUUUCCAUGGAGUCAAAGACAUGAUUGGCAUCUUCUAUGCCCCCACACUUUGCAUACAUUGUCAGAAGAGAGUUAUCUACUGAUAAGGAUGAUUCAAGACCAGAUCUGAUAAUCGUUGCAUGAACUUGCUGCCCAAAUUCCAUAACUGUCAGUUCUGCACAAGCACUCAGAACGCUGGCAAGGGCAAUUUGGUCAGGACAUACACCUGCAAUUCUCAUGUCACAAAACAACUUGAUAGCAUCUUCAUAAGAGCCAUUGUAUGAAUAUCCUGUAACCAGGGAAGUCCAUGAGAUAACAUCUUUGUCUGGCAUCUGGUCAAAUACCAUAAACGCAUAAUCUAACUUUCCCUGUUUAGCAUACAUGUCAACAAGAGCAUUGUUCACGAGCUUAUAUGCCCCAAAUCCAGUUUUGACAAUUAAACAAUGGACGGAUUUUGCUUUUUGUAUAUCCUUCACGGAUACAAAACAGUUUAACACAGAUGGGUAUGUAUAAUCAUUAAUUUUCAUAUUUCUUGCAUGCAUUUCAUGAAACAAAGACAAAGCUUCCUCUUCAAAGCCCUCCCUCACAAACCCCACUAUCAUGGCGUUCCAAGAAAUCACAUCAUUAAUCUCCAUAUUCUCCAAAACCCUCUUUGCACUAUUCAAGUCUCGACAUUUUGAAUACAUAUCCACCAAUGCACUUUGAACAAAUAUAUUGGCACCAAAACCACUCCUAACUAUACAACCGUGUACUUGAACCCCAAAGUCACGAGCUGAAAUUGCUCCACAGGCUGUCAAAAUGCUAGGAAAAGUAAAUUGAUUCGACUCAACCCCUUCAGUUCUCAUGUCCCUAAAACACUCGAUUGCUUUAAACCCAUCCCCAUUACGAGAAUACCCAGUAAGCAUAGCUGUCCAAGUAGCAUGAUUUUUGCUAUCAGCCACUAUUUCGAAAAGAUAUUCAGCUUCCAAAAUGCUCUCGCAUUUGGCAUACAUGUCAACUAGACCGGUAACAACAAAAACAUCACCAUCAAGUCGAGUUUUUAUCGCAUACCCGUGAAUCUGUUCCCCUCUUUGACGAAAGCCCAUUGUGGAGCACAGCCUAAUGACACUCCCUAAAGUGUAUGUGUUAGGCUUUUGUCCUUCGAACUGCAUUUGCCAAUACAACUCAAAAGCUUCAAUUUCACAGCCAUAUUUGCAGUAGCCAGAUAUAAGACUAGACCACGUGAUUGAACUCUUCAAUGGAGUCUCAUGAAAAAGUAGAUUAGCUUCAGUUAAUCUCCCUGAAUUGGCAUAAGCAGCAAUCAUAGUGUUCCACGCAAACUUGUCCCUGCAAGGCAUUUUGUCGAACAUGUGGCGUGCCUCGUCGAUCCGACCACGUUUUGACAAAUCAUCCAAAAGUCGGUUUGAUUCAAUUCUUGAAUAAGAAAACCCUAUUGGAUUUGCAAUGUUAUGAGAGAGAUGGGUCAGGUUUAUUUGUUCAAAUGGACCCCGAUACAAGUUUAAAGUUCGCACUCUAUACAUGCCCGGCUUACUUCGCUGCUCUGUAACUCAUCCACACAGAGAGAUGAGAGUUUUUUUGCUGCUGCCCAGCCUCCCGGCCGCUUUAUGUUCUCCAAUAAAUUAUGAUAAAACA
RNAcentral lists this unclassified non-coding RNA (4755 nucleotides) under Hevea brasiliensis (rubber tree). Lineage: Eukaryota; Viridiplantae; Streptophyta; Magnoliopsida; Malpighiales; Euphorbiaceae. The record is from RNAcentral.